CGAAACGUUUUCAUUUGUAAGUUUGCUUAAAACCAUCGAAAAGAAUUGGAGAAAAUGUAUGAAGUGGACUUCGUAUAUAUCUCUAAAAAGAAGUCUCGCCGCCAUCGUCUGCAGCAGGCUGUCGGUGCUGCUACUCACUCGAUCUAUCAGUAAUGCGACGCCAACAAUAGAGCCAUAACGACUGGACAAGAAGAAGAAGAAUAUUAACAGGAUUCAUCACUUAUUGACGUCAAAAAAUUACUUAAACUAAGUCUGCUGCCGACUUCCAAAGCGCAGGUGAAGAAGAAGCAGCGCAACAAACUUCACCGCGGCCUUGUCUGCAAGAAAUAUGGCGGACGGACAUGGUGACCACUGUGGGUGACCACUAAGCCACAAAGAUCGUCGAGAUAAUACAGGGCAAGAUAACAACUCGAUCUUGAUAAUAUUUACCGAAAAUGCACUUAAAAAUUUAAAAAAAGCGGCUACAAUAAUUUGUAAAAGU
Molecule: long non-coding RNA, 481 nt
Organism: Plodia interpunctella (Indianmeal moth)
Lineage: Eukaryota; Metazoa; Arthropoda; Insecta; Lepidoptera; Pyralidae
Exons: 4
Source: RefSeq, a predicted model, not a curated record